UGGAUAGAUUAUUGUAUUCGACUGUAUUCACGGCACGAAACAGGGGAUUACACUGUUUUUAAAACGGAAAGUGAAUCAAUUAACAUAAUAGACUCCU
Molecule: microRNA precursor, 97 nt
Filed under: Nicotiana sylvestris (wood tobacco)
Lineage: Eukaryota; Viridiplantae; Streptophyta; Magnoliopsida; Solanales; Solanaceae
Description: MIR6152 microRNA precursor family
Rfam family: MIR6152 microRNA precursor family
Source: Rfam by way of RNAcentral